CUGCUGCCUUCCGUAGGAGUCUGGACCGUGUCUCAGUUCCAAUGUGGGGGACCUUCCUCUCAGAACCCCUACGCAUCGUCGGCUUGGUGGGCCGUUGCCCCACCAACUACCUAAUGCGCCGCAUGCCCAUCCAUGACCGGGGUCGCCCCCUUUGACCGGCAGGGGAUGUCCCCUCCCGGCAUUAUGUUGUAUUAGGCGGGAUUUCUCCCGGUUAUCCAUCUGUCACGGCCAGGUUGCAUACGUGUUACUCACCCGUGCGCCGGUCGCCGG
This 270-nucleotide ribosomal RNA is filed under the name uncultured bacterium. RNAcentral's name for it is "partial 16S ribosomal RNA". The record is from RNAcentral.